RNAcentral lists this ribosomal RNA (468 nucleotides) under uncultured bacterium. RNAcentral describes it as "partial 16S ribosomal RNA". It matches the Rfam family "Bacterial small subunit ribosomal RNA", at positions 28 to 507 of the family's 1533-position model. The record is from RNAcentral.
GACGAACGCUGGCGGCGUGCUUAACACAUGCAAGUCGAACGGAAAGGCCCUGCUUUUGUGGGGUGCUCGAGUGGCGAACGGGUGAGUAACACGUGAGUAACCUGCCCUUGACUUUGGGAUAACUUCAGGAAACUGGGGCUAAUACCGGAUAGGAGCUCCUGCUGCAUGGUGGGGGUUGGAAAGUUUCGGCGGUUGGGGAUGGACUCGCGGCUUUCCAGCUUGUUGGUGGGGUAGUGGCUUACCAAGGCUUUGACGGGUAGCCGGCCUGAGAGGGUGACCGGCCACAUUGGGACUGAGAUACGGCCCAGACUCCUACGGGAGGCAGCAGUGGGGAAUAUUGCACAAUGGGCGGAAGCCUGAUGCAGCAACGCCGCGUGCGGGAUGACGGCCUUCGGGUUGUAAACCGCUUUCGCCUGUGACGAAGCGUGAGUGACGGUAAUGGGUAAAGAAGCACCGGCUAACUACGUG